UCACUGACUGUCACAAGAUAUGAUGGCCCC
This 30-nucleotide non-coding RNA is filed under the name Rattus norvegicus (Norway rat). The record is from RNAcentral. Lineage: Eukaryota; Metazoa; Chordata; Mammalia; Rodentia; Muridae.